This 400-nucleotide long non-coding RNA is filed under the name Linum usitatissimum (flax). RNAcentral's name for it is "long non-coding RNA (LUSI_LNC005475)". The record is from RNAcentral. Lineage: Eukaryota; Viridiplantae; Streptophyta; Magnoliopsida; Malpighiales; Linaceae.
UUCUCAUCUGCAUUCCUUUGUAAUGUGCAAAACAAUUACUCCUUCCAAUAUGCCAUUUUUUACUACAAGGAAGAGCUCUCUUUUGGUCUUUCUUCCUCAACUGUGUUCAUAAAAAUUGCCUCUAUAUUAUUUUUCGUCACAAUGUACAGGCCGUUUCUAGUUAUACUUAAAUGGCAAAGUUAACUCAAAUAAAAUUUUAACAACACAGUUAAUAGUAAAAAAGGAGUAAGUUCUCUUUCAUACGUCUCAUCAAUUUAAUUGGGGAUUGCUAUUAGGCGCCCUGUUUUUUAUUAUCCAGCGCCCUGUUUUUUAUUAUCCAACGCCCUGAUAUUUGAAUUUAGUGAGUAAAAUUACGCGAAUGUCUUCAAACACACUACCUAAUUCGAAACUCUCAGCUCUC